UUACAUUUGUGAUCAUAAUCUUCAUUCCUAAAAGAAGAAAUCAAAGUCUUCUUCAUCCAUAUUCAAUAUUCCCUUUGUGUUCUUCGAGUUUUAGAGAAUUCAUACAAGUGCUUAAGUAUUGAUUCUCUACAAGGCUUGAUUACUCCUACAAAUCGUUUGCCGUGAGACCCUUUGAGCAUUAAAAUUAUAUCCGAGAGGGAGCAAAUAUCGUUUGAGAACAGCGAUAUAAUGUUGUGUUUAAACCUUCAUAUUUAUUAUGAUUUUCUUCUUAUUUUCAUCUUCUUGAUUAUUUUUAUAUAUUGUUUCUUUUCCAUUUUCCUUGAUUGAUGCAAAUUUUUGAACAUUUUUUUGCAACAUUUUAUUCAUAUGGUGCCAUCCAUAUGAGCAUUCUAAAGGGGUUCUCCUCUGUACACACAGACUAAUUCCCUCUCUAUCUUUCUUAUUAUCCGUUAGAUUUUUUUUGAAAGAGACUUCUGAAAUGCAGUGUGGUAUCCAAAGCCUUCCAAACUAACCUUAAUUUUCUCUUUUUAAAGAGACGAAGUGACGUCUAGAACGUGUUUUCUUCAUCCUGCUGCGAUUUACAGCAGCUUUCUUCAAACGAGUAAAGUUGUUCAUCUUUAUUCUGUGUUGAUUUUAAAAAAGGAACAUUGAUGGAAAGUUUGAUAUUUUUGGUGAACGGAUUAUAGAGUGUUUGAACUGCACUCGGAGAUAGUGGAGAAGAUAAUGAGUUGCCUUCUCUCUGGGAUCCGCUGCCAUCUAUAUCUAGUUUAAGAAUUUCAUUAAUUUCUUAGUUUCUAUAAUUCGAUCUAAGGUCAUAGUUUUAAUUCUUUUCACUUUUGACAUCUAAUACAGGUCCUAUAGUAGAAGAUAUGUUCCAUUGGCAAGCAAUGAUUAUGAGACCUUCUGAUAGUCCUUAUUCUGGAGGUAUAUUUUUGGUUCUUUUUCCUCCCAAUUACCCUUUUAAGCCUCUGUAGGUAUGCUUGUAUCUUGUACAUUAGUUGUAUAUUACUGCCAAUCUUUGAGUCAUUUGCUCACUUGUAUUCCUUGGGACUCCAUAGUGAAAAGUAGAUAAUUGAGCAGGCAGAUAUCUUUCUUGAUACUAGGUGUUGAAAACCUUCAUAUAUUAUCAGUUUCUAAGCUAAACAUAUUAUUAGGUAGAAUGAUUUACCUUGUCCCCAAGUGCAAUUUUGCAAAUUAAGUUCACACGAGUUCAUUCUCUACUUUUCAGGGUUAUUCUUUUCCCUAUGGUGUCUUGCAAAAUGUUGUCCUGAAAUUUCAACUUCUUUUUCCCUGGAAGUUAAUUCAACUUCUUUCUUGCAGUACAGAAUAGAAUUAGUCACAUGAGUCAUCAAAAGUUGUAGAUAUAAGGCUCUAAUAGCAUGUUUGGCUAACUUGAAAGUUUUAUAAGUAAAUUAGUAAGUUUUAAAUGAAUAUAUUUUGAUCGAUGAUAGUUGAAAAUAACUAGCUUAAAAGUCCCAAAAACGGCUUCGUUUGAGCUAUUUGGAUUGUAUGAAAGAGUCAUCCUAUCAAAAAAGACAAUUAUUUUUUAGAAGAAAAAAGUCUAACGGGUGGCUUAAAGUGAUUUACCUUUUUAAGGCUUAGCCAAACAUGCACAUAUAACUUUGUGGAAACUAAUUCUAGUUUCUUCUUGUUGCUGUUGUAGUGACUAUUUAUUUUUUCUCUCCUGUCAAAUUGUUUUAUUUCUAAUAACACCCUUGCUAAUUCAAACCUUUAAUUUCAAUAUAGCAAACACGAUUAAGCUAUAAUCCUGAUCAUUCUCCAUUUUUUGCAGGUAUGAAAUAUAUAUGACCCAGUACCGAGCAAUAUUUUGUAGUCAAUUGCAAGAUUAUGAGUGAGAAAGUGUCAGAACCAAGCAAUAAACGAAAGUGGAACAAAAAAAGGUUCAAAAUAAAGCAGGUACUGCUGCUGCUGAAACAUUUAAGUGCUGUGCAGUUUGUUCAACAGAUGUGGGAGUAAUAGACAAGGAAGAAGUUUAUCAUUUCUUGAAUGUUUUUCCAAGUGAGGCUUGAUUAAGCAUCCUCUCUGUAUGAAAUUAUCGAUGUGACAAGCGUG
This 2073-nucleotide long non-coding RNA is filed under the name Olea europaea subsp. europaea. The record is from RNAcentral. Lineage: Eukaryota; Viridiplantae; Streptophyta; Magnoliopsida; Lamiales; Oleaceae.